GUUGAACGCUGGCGGCAUGCUUUACACAUGCAAGUCGAACGGUAACAGGCCGCCAGGUGCUGACGAGUGGCGAACGGGUGUGUAAUGCAUCGGAACGUGCACAGUCGUGGGGGAUAACUAUCCGAAAGCAUAGCUAAUACCGCAUACGCUCUGCGGAGGAAAGCGGGGGACCUUCGGGCCUCGCGCGAUAGGCGCGGCCGAUGUCAGAUUAGGUGGUUGGGGGGGUAAAGGCUCACCAAGCCAACGAUCUGUAGCUGGUCUGAGAGGACGACCGGCGAAACUGGGACUGAGACACGGCCCAGACUCCUACGGGGGGCAGCAGUGGGGAAUUUUGGACAAUGGGCGCAAGCCUGAUCCAGCAAUGCCGCGUGCAGGAAGAAGGCCUUCGGGUUGUAAACUGCUUUUGUACGGAACGAAACGGCUCUGGUUAAUACCUGGGGCUAAUGACGGUACCGUAAGAAUAAGCACCGGCUAACUACGUGCCAGCCGCCGCAGUAA
This 498-nucleotide ribosomal RNA is filed under the name uncultured bacterium. Its description in RNAcentral is "partial 16S ribosomal RNA". It matches the Rfam family "Bacterial small subunit ribosomal RNA", at positions 28 to 523 of the family's 1533-position model. The record is from RNAcentral.